GGUCGGUUGGGAGAGGAGGCUCUGGGUUUGUCCCGUUGGGCACAGGGUUUUCUGGAGCUUUCCCACUGAGUGGGUCGGUUGGGAGAGGAGGCUCUGGGGUUGUCCCGUUGGGCACAGGGUGUUCUGGAGCUUUCCCACUGAGUGGGUCGGUUGGGAGAGGAGGCUCUGGGGUUGUCCCGUUGGGCACAAGAUGUUCUGGAGCUUUCUCGUUGAGUGGAUCGGUUGGGAGAGGAGGCUCUUGGGUUGUCCCGUUGGGCACAGGGUGUUCUGGAGCUUUCCCACUGAGUGGGUCGGUUGGGAGAGGAGGCUCUGGGGUUGUCCCGUUGGGCACAGGGUGUUCUGAAGCUUUCCCACUGACUGGGUCGGUUGGAAGAGGAGGCUCUUGGGUUGUCCCGUUGGGCACAGGGUGUUCUGGAGCUUUCCCUCUGAGUGGGUCGGUUGGGAGAGGAGGCUCUUGGGUUGUCCCGUUGGGCACAGGGUGUUCUGGAGCUUUCUCGUUGGGUGGCUCGGUUGGGAGAGGAGGCUCUUGGGUUGUCCCGUUGGGCACAGGGUGUUCUGGAGCUUUCCCUCUGAGUGGGUCGGUUGGGAGAGGAGGCUCUGGGGUUGUCCGAUUGGGCACAGGAUGUUCUGGAGUUUUCUCGUUGGGGAGUACACGUAGGAAAAGAAGUUUGAGGGUUGUCCUGUUGGGUAGAAGAGGUUCUGGAGUUGUCUUCCUGGGUGGCUUUGGUGGGAGAGGAAACUUGAGGAUUGUUUAGUUGGGUGGACGAGGUUCUAAGGUUGUCCCGUUGGGUGGUUCUUGAGGGAGAGGAUGCUCUGGGGGUGUUCCGCUGUGUGGAAGAGGUCCUGGGGACGUCCUGUUGGGUGGAUGAGGUUCUGGGGUUGUCCCGUUGGGUGGUUCUCGCGGGAGAGGAGGCUGGGGGGGUAUUGAAUUGUGUGGAAGCAGCCUGGGCAACGUCCUUUUGGGCAGAACGAUGGAGAGAGGAAGCCUGCGAGGUGGCACUUCGAGGUCCACUCUGCGGUGUUCCAGAGGCAGCCGGGUUUAGUGCUGGCUGAUGCCGCUCCAAGGAGAAGUACCUGCUUUCUCCCCGGAGCUUCGCCCAGUGCUGCCCAGCGCUUCGGC
This is a long non-coding RNA of Equus asinus (donkey), 1120 nucleotides long. The record is from Ensembl. Lineage: Eukaryota; Metazoa; Chordata; Mammalia; Perissodactyla; Equidae.